GUAAAGUUUGCCUAUUGUAUGUAC
This 24-nucleotide non-coding RNA is filed under the name Arabidopsis thaliana (thale cress). The record is from RNAcentral. Lineage: Eukaryota; Viridiplantae; Streptophyta; Magnoliopsida; Brassicales; Brassicaceae.